Molecule: long non-coding RNA, 1214 nt
Organism: Dreissena polymorpha
Lineage: Eukaryota; Metazoa; Mollusca; Bivalvia; Myida; Dreissenidae
Exons: 3
Source: RefSeq, a predicted model, not a curated record
UGUGCUAAGAAUAUAGAGGAUAUUUGUUGGAUUCGAGGUGAGAUGUGCUAAGAAUAUAGAGGAUAUUUGUUGGAUUCGAGGUGAGAUGUGCUAAGAAUAUAGAGGAUAUUUGUUGGAUUCGAGGUGAGAUGUGCUAAGAAUAUAGAGGAUAUUUGUUGGAUUCGAGGUGAGAUGUGCUAAGAAUAUAGAGGAUAUUUGUUGGAUUCGAGGUGAGAUGUGCUAAGAAUAUAGAGGAUAUUUGUUGGAUUCGAGGUGAGAUGUGCUAAGAAUAUAGAGGAUAUUUGUUGGAUUCGAGGUGAGAUGUGCUAAGAAUAUAGAGGAUAUUUGUUGGAUUCGAGGUGAGAUGUGCUAAGAAUAUAGAGGAUAUUUGUUGGAUUCGAGGUGAGAUGUGCUAAGAAUAUAGAGGAUAUUUGUUGGAUUCGAGGUGAGAUGUGCUAAGAAUAUAGAGGAUAUUUGUUGGAUUUGGUGGAUUAUCGAUUUUAAUUCAGUAGUGAUCAUGGAAAAUAUAUAUUUUCUGUGAUCACGAGUGAAUUCAAAUAGAUAUUUUACUGAAUCCAACAAAUUUUCUUUUUAUUUUAAGUUUGUUUUAACAGUUGAUAUACAUAAAGAGUUUAACUAAAGAAUUAAGCUGGGAUAAUGAUGUCAUUUCGUAAAUAAAAUGACGUCAUUUCAGAGUAAACAGUGAAAAUUAUUGAUAAUUUUCACUGAUAAUUUUCACUGUUUGAAACAGUGAAAUUAUCAUUUUUAAUUCACUGAUUUUUCUCUAUAAACCACCGGGAAGCAUAAAAUAAAGUGUUGGUUAUAUGAGCCGUGUUGUGGGAAAACUGGGUCUUAAUUGGAUACCUGAGUGUCUGAUCAUAUACUGCAUUGAGUCUGAUAGGUGAGAUGUGCUUAGAAUAGUGUUGGUUAUAUGAGCUGAGUUGUGGGAAAACUGGAUCUUAAUUGCAUAUUUGAUUGUCUGAUCAUAUACUACAAAGAGUCUGAUAGGUGAGAUGUGCUAAGAAUAGUGUUGAUUAUAUGAGCUGUGUUGUGGGAAAACUGGGUCUUAAUUGGAUAUUUGAUCAGAAGUGACUAAGAAGAAACGUGUAAAGUUUUUUACCUGAUUAGCCUGUGCGGAUAAAGGUGUUGUCCUGAAGCAUAUUAAUAAAAAAAAUGCUUUUCUCACAAAAUUGACUGUUUGUUAGUACUCAUAUUUGAGUGCAUGUUUUCCUGUU